RNAcentral lists this unclassified non-coding RNA (217 nucleotides) under uncultured Thelephoraceae. RNAcentral describes it as "sequence contains ITS2". The record is from RNAcentral. Lineage: Eukaryota; Fungi; Basidiomycota; Agaricomycetes; Thelephorales; Thelephoraceae.
ACACCUCAACCUUCGUGGUUUGCCGCGAUUGGCUUGGACUUUGGAGGUUUUGCUGGCUCCGGUCGGCUCCUCUCAAAUGAAUCAGCUUACCAGCGUUUGGUGGCGUCGCGGGUGUGAUAACUAUCUACGCUCGUGGCCGCAUACCAUGCAACCUUCGGUGAUGAGGGUUCGCUGGGGCUCAUAAAUGUCUCUCCUCAGUGAGGACAGCUCUUUGAAC